AUUUGCCCUUGAGGUAAGCUAAUUGGCAGGAAUUUUGGGCCGAACGAAUGGUGAUUUGCAGCGGCAAUGUCAAGACUGAUCAUUCGGCGAUCUGGUAGGUGUCAGAAUGCUAGCAAUCUUGAUAUUGAAUUGAUAUAUUCAGGUUAUAUCAUCAUUGACGGAAACCGGAUUAUCCCUUGAGAGCGGCAACCCAACGCAUGCUCCUGGUUGGGUCGUUUCUCCGUUUCUUUACUUUUAUUUCUUCUUUCUGCUCCUCUUGCUUUUUCCGUUGGAUGCCAUUUCCGAGCCACUGAGGUCAGUCUACGGCGC
RNAcentral lists this small RNA (309 nucleotides) under Histoplasma ohiense. RNAcentral's name for it is "hypothetical lncRNA". The record is from RNAcentral. Lineage: Eukaryota; Fungi; Ascomycota; Eurotiomycetes; Onygenales; Ajellomycetaceae.